UUGGUAGGGCAACAGCCCAGUGAACCGGGCGGGGCAGUUGAUGAAAGCGGAGACAAUCAAUUUCCCUAAAUGACAUCCACAUUUAUUUUUAACUUAUCGGGUUUAGUUACCUUGGAUCAGCUCUAAGGUUGAGCAACCCUUAGAGCAACCUUUAAAGCCAUUGGAUGCAUUCUGUCACAAUUGUUUCGGAUUUAAGUACAGGCGUCCAACGACUUUGGGGGCUGC
This 225-nucleotide long non-coding RNA is filed under the name Citrus sinensis (sweet orange). RNAcentral describes it as "long non-coding RNA (CSIN_LNC000922)". The record is from RNAcentral. Lineage: Eukaryota; Viridiplantae; Streptophyta; Magnoliopsida; Sapindales; Rutaceae.